This 402-nucleotide ribosomal RNA is filed under the name uncultured bacterium. Its description in RNAcentral is "bacterial SSU rRNA". It matches the Rfam family "Bacterial small subunit ribosomal RNA", at positions 381 to 774 of the family's 1533-position model. The record is from RNAcentral.
CCCUGAUGCAGCGACGCCGCGUGGACGAUGAAGGCCCUUCGGGUCGUAAAGUCCUUUUCUAUGGGGAGAAGAUGCGAAGUAGUAACUGACUUUGCAGUGACGGUACCAUAGGAAUCAGUCACGGCUAACUCUGUGCCAGCAGCCGCGGUAAUACAGAGGUGGCAAAUGUUGCUCGGAAUUACUGGGCGUAAAGGACGCGCAGGCGGACUGUUAAGUCAAGAGUGAAAACUUCCGGCUCAACCGGGAGCAUGCUUUUGAAACUGGCGGUCUUGAGACACGUAGGGGAUGACGGAACACCUGGAGUAGCGGUGAAAUGCGUAGAUAUCAGGUGGAACACCGGUGGCGAAGGCGGUCAUCUGGACGAGGUCUGACGCUGAGGCGUGAAAGCCGGGGGAGCAAACA